CUACGGGUGGCUGCAGUGGGGAAUAUUGCACAAUGGAGGAAACUCUGAUGCAGCAACGCCGCGUGGAGGAUGACACUUUUCGGAGCGUAAACUCCUUUUAUAUAGGAAGAAGAUGACGGUACUAUAUGAAUAAGCGCCGGCUAACUCCGUGCCAGCAGCCGCGGUAAUGACGGAGGGCGCAAGCGUUACUCGGAAUCACUGGGCGUAAAGAGCGUGUAGGCGGAUUAAAAAGUCAGAAGUGAAAUCCUAUAGCUUAACUAUAGAACUGCUUCUGAAACUCUUAAUCUAGAAUAUGGGAGAGGUAGAUGGAAUUUCUGGUGUAGGGGUAAAAUCCGUAGAGAUCAGAAGGAAUACCGAUUGCGAAGGCGAUCUACUAGAACAUUAUUGACGCUGAGACGCGAAAGCGUGGGGAGCAAACAGGAUUAGAUACCCCGGUAGUC
This 440-nucleotide ribosomal RNA is filed under the name uncultured bacterium. RNAcentral's name for it is "partial 16S ribosomal RNA". It matches the Rfam family "Bacterial small subunit ribosomal RNA", at positions 339 to 795 of the family's 1533-position model. The record is from RNAcentral.